This 1381-nucleotide ribosomal RNA is filed under the name uncultured bacterium. RNAcentral describes it as "bacterial SSU rRNA". It matches the Rfam family "Bacterial small subunit ribosomal RNA", at positions 18 to 1394 of the family's 1533-position model. The record is from RNAcentral.
CCUGGCUCAGGAUGAACGCUAGCUACAGGCUUAACACAUGCAAGUCGAGGGGCAGCAUGGUCUUAGCUUGCUAAGGCCGAUGGCGACCGGCGCACGGGUGAGUAACACGUAUCCAACCUGCCGUCUACUCUUGGACAGCCUUCUGAAAGGAAGAUUAAUACAAGAUGGCAUCAUGAGUCCGCAUGUUCACAUGAUUAAAGGUAUUCCGGUAGACGAUGGGGAUGCGUUCCAUUAGAUAGUAGGCGGGGUAACGGCCCACCUAGUCUUCGAUGGAUAGGGGUUCUGAGAGGAAGGUCCCCCACAUUGGAACUGAGACACGGUCCAAACUCCUACGGGAGGCAGCAGUGAGGAAUAUUGGUCAAUGGGCGAAAGCCUGAACCAGCCAAGUAGCGUGAAGGAUGACUGCCCUAUGGGUUGUAAACUUCUUUUAUAAAGGAAUAAAGUCGGGUAUGGAUACCCGUUUGCAUGUACUUUAUGAAUAAGGAUCGGCUAACUCCGUGCCAGCAGCCGCGGUAAUACGGAGGAUCCGAGCGUUAUCCGGAUUUAUUGGGUUUAAAGGGAGCGUAGAUGGAUGUUUAAGUCAGUUGUGAAAGUUUGCGGCUCAACCGUAAAAUUGCAGUUGAUACUGGAUAUCUUGAGUGCAGUUGAGGCAGGCGGAAUUCGUGGUGUAGCGGUGAAAUGCUUAGAUAUCACGAAGAACUCCGAUUGCGAAGGCAGCCUGCUAAGCUGCGACUGACAUUGAGGCUCGAAAGUGUGGGUAUCAAACAGGAUUAGAUACCCUGGUAGUCCACACGGUAAACGAUGAAUACUCGCUGUUUGCGAUAUACUGCAAGCGGCCAAGCGAAAGCGUUAAGUAUUCCACCUGGGGAGUACGCCGGCAACGGUGAAACUCAAAGGAAUUGACGGGGGCCCGCACAAGCGGAGGAACAUGUGGUUUAAUUCGAUGAUGCGCGAGGAACCUUACCCGGGCUUAAAUUGCAGAUGAAUUACGGUGAAAGCCGUAAGCCGCAAGGCAUCUGUGAAGGUGCUGCAUGGUUGUCGUCAGCUCGUGCCGUGAGGUGUCGGCUUAAGUGCCAUAACGAGCGCAACCCUUGUUGUCAGUUACUAACAGGUUCCGCUGAGGACUCUGACAAGACUGCCAUCGUAAGAUGUGAGGAAGGUGGGGAUGACGUCAAAUCAGCACGGCCCUUACGUCCGGGGCUACACACGUGUUACAAUGGGGGGUACAGAGGGCCGCUACCACGCGAGUGGAUGCCAAUCCCCAAAACCUCUCUCAGUUCGGACUGGAGUCUGCAACCCGACUCCACGAAGCUGGAUUCGCUAGUAAUCGCGCAUCAGCCACGGCGCGGUGAAUACGUUCCCGGGCCUUGUACACACCGCC